RNAcentral lists this ribosomal RNA (449 nucleotides) under uncultured Desulfobulbus sp. RNAcentral describes it as "bacterial SSU rRNA". It matches the Rfam family "Bacterial small subunit ribosomal RNA", at positions 938 to 1382 of the family's 1533-position model. Lineage: Bacteria; Pseudomonadati; Thermodesulfobacteriota; Desulfobulbia; Desulfobulbales; Desulfobulbaceae. The record is from RNAcentral.
UAUGUGGUUUAAUUCGAUGCAACGCGAAGAACUUACCUGGUCUUGACAUCCCGGAGACCCUUAGGAAACUAGGGGGUGCUUCCAUCUGGAAGAAUCUGGAGACAGGUGCUGCAUGGCUGUCGUCAGCUCGUGUCGUGAGAUGUUGGGUUAAGUCCCGCAACGAGCGCAACCCUUGCCUUUAGUUGCCAGCAGUUCGGCUGGGCACUCUAAAGGGACUGCCGGUGUUAAACCGGAGGAAGGUGGGGAUGACGUCAAGUCCUCAUGGCCUUUAUGACCAGGGCUACACACGUACUACAAUGGCCGAUACAAAGGGCAGCGACACUGCGAGGUGAAGCCAAUCCCGUAAAAUCGGUCUCAGUCCGGAUUGGAGUCUGCAACUCGACUCCAUGAAGUUGGAAUCGCUAGUAAUCGUGGAUCAGCAUGCCACGGUGAAUACGUUCCCGGGCCUU